GAUUAACGCUGGCGGCGUGCAUAACACAUGCAAGUCGAACGAUGAAACUCAUUAGAUUUCUUCGGAAUGAAACUGAAUGGAUUAGUGGCGAACGGGUGAGUAACGCGUGAGUAACCUGCCUUACACAAGGGGAUAGCCUCUGGAAACGGAGAAUAAUACCCUAUGAAACCAGACAAUCGCAUGAUAAUCUGGUCAAAAUGUUUAGUGGUGUAAGAUGGACUUGCGUCUGAUUAGCUAGUUGGUGAGAUAAAAGCUCACCAAGGCAACGAUCAGUAGCCGGCUUGAGAGAGUGUACGGCCACAUUGGGACUGAGACACGGCCCAGACUCCUACGGGAGGCAGCAGUGGGGAAUUUUGCACAAUGGGGGAAACCCUGAUGCAGCGACGCCGCGUGAUUUAGAAGGCCUUCGGGUUGUAAAAAUCUUUUGUAUAGGAAGAAAAUGACAGUACUAUACGAAUAAGGGCCGGCUAAUUACGUG
RNAcentral lists this ribosomal RNA (478 nucleotides) under uncultured bacterium. RNAcentral describes it as "partial 16S ribosomal RNA". It matches the Rfam family "Bacterial small subunit ribosomal RNA", at positions 28 to 507 of the family's 1533-position model. The record is from RNAcentral.